UAAGACGAACCGUGCGAACGUUGUUCGGAAUCACUGGGCUUAAAGGGCGCGUAGGCGGGCAUUCAAGUCCGGGGUGAAAGCCCCCAGCUCAACUGGGGAAGUGCCUUGGAAACUGGAUGUCUCGAGGGAGGUAGGGGCAUGUGGAACUUCGGGUGGAGCGGUGAAAUGCGUUGAUAUCCGAAGGAACGCCGGUGGCGAAAGCGACGUGCUGGAUCUCUUCUGACGCUGAGGCGCGAAAGCUAGGGGAGCAAACGGGAUUAGAUACCCCGGUAGUCCUAGCCCUAAACGAUGGGUACUAGAUUGCGGACUUAACAUGGGUUCGCAGUCGAAGCAAAAGUGGUAAGUACCCCGCCUGGGGAGUAUGGUCGCAAGGCUG
Molecule: ribosomal RNA, 376 nt
Filed under: uncultured bacterium
Lineage: Bacteria
Description: bacterial SSU rRNA
Rfam family: Bacterial small subunit ribosomal RNA
Source: RNAcentral